Triticum aestivum (bread wheat) is the source of this 311-nucleotide long non-coding RNA. RefSeq lists it as uncharacterized. NCBI's taxonomy places the organism in Eukaryota, Viridiplantae, Streptophyta, Magnoliopsida, Poales, Poaceae. The transcript has 5 exons. The record is from RefSeq and is a predicted model, not a curated record.
CAAGACCUGGAGAUAUCAGAAGUGAGAAUGCUGACAUGAGUAACGAGAAAUCCUGUGAAAAACACAAUCGCCUGCCAGUGGAAGGCUUUCUGCAUUCAGUUAAUCUACGCAGAGUGAAUCGGUCCCUAAGGAACCCCCGAAAGGGCUGCCGUCCGAUGGGUACACGAAAGUGACAAAGUUGCUUUGACUACUGAACCAUGCCUAGAUCGUCGGAGCGAAUUGGAUGAUCGGGCCGAGGGCUGCCCCCUCUUCCCCUCGCUCUCCUUUCCUUAAUAUUCACCGAUCGGAAGAUCGUCGUGUAGGGACAGAGG